Molecule: long non-coding RNA, 1030 nt
Organism: Aethina tumida (small hive beetle)
Lineage: Eukaryota; Metazoa; Arthropoda; Insecta; Coleoptera; Nitidulidae
Exons: 3
Source: RefSeq, a predicted model, not a curated record
AACUUCCCUAUAACUAUUUUCGUUCAUUAGUUUUGUUCAUGUAAAAAAGGUGCCCAACAAACGAUACACAAAACCAGUGUUGCAUUUAUUUGGAGUAAAUUGUCGUAAUCCCACUACAACCCCAACAAACGUAACAAAAAUCCAUAAGUACUUAGUAAUAUUAGUUUAAUCGUAGCUUUAAUUAACUACAAAGACACCAGAUGCCGCCUUUGAAGUAAAGGUUUCAGAAAUUUCUAAUAUAGGCACAGACAAAUUUUUUGAACAAUGGCUAUCAACUGAAAAUGUAAUAAUUACGUGUCAAUGUAUAAUUGAUGAGCAUUUCUCCAUUAUCCACGUUGGUAAAAUUUACAAUUCAUUUACUAUAUGAUUUGCAAUUUUGAAACAAGUUAAUUUUUGUGAAAUUAUUUGUAGAUGGCAAUAACUGACAAACCUUAGAAGCAAUUGAUGCAAUUGUGUUUUUUCAUAUUCAAAUGGUCGGGAGUCAAAAUAUUACAUCAGUGUAAUCUCAUUGUAUGUGACAUAACAGUUCACAUCAGGCUUAGAAGAUGCUUUUACCAUAGAGUAUCGAAACUGUUAUGUGGCACAGUUAACAACCACUAGAAGCUCAGAGGCGGCACAACCACUAGAAGCUCAGAGGCGGCACAACCACCAACAGGUCUGUUACACCCAUGACUCUCAAGUGCUAUCAAAAGAUACCAUAUUCUAGCCAGGAGCUCAGAGGCGGUUCAAUCACUACCAGGUCUAUUACCCGCUUGUCUCACAGACCCAGAACACAACAAUCUAAGCCUGUAGAGCAGAGUCCUUAAAAAUAGCCUGCCAAGCAGGGACCAUUAAACAUAGCCUGCAAAGUAGGGACCUUAAAAAUAGCCUGUCGAGCAGGGACCUUAAUCAUAGUCUACUAAGCAGGGACCUUCACAUAUAGCCUGAUACACAGGGACCUUAAACAGCCUACUAAGCAGGGACCUUUACACACAUUCACACAUCAAUCUUAUUAAAUAAAUCUAUAUCCAUCAUACCUUAUAGAAUUUCU